AUUGAACGCUGGCGGAAUGCUUUACACAUGCAAGUCGAGCGGCAGCGCGGCCUUCGGGCUGGCGGCGAGCGGCGAACGGGUGAGUAAUGCAUCGGAACAUGCCCAGUCGUGGGGGAUAACACUUCGAAAGAAGUGCUAAUACCGCAUACGUCCUGAGGGGGAAAGCGGGGGAUCGCAAGACCUCGCGCGAUUGGAGUGGCCGAUGUCAGAUUAGCUAGUUGGUGGGGUAAAGGCCUACCAAGGCGACGAUCUGUAGCUGGUCUGAGAGGAUGAUCAGCCACACUGGGACUGAGACACGGCCCAGACUCCUACGGGAGGCAGCAGUGGGGAAUUUUGGACAAUGGGGGCAACCCUGAUCCAGCAAUUCCGCGUGAGUGAAGAAGGCAUUCGGGUUGUAAAGCUCUUUCGGCAGGAACGACACGGUGGGCUCUAACAUAGUCCGCUAAUGACGGUACCUGAAGAAGAAGCACCGGCUAACUACGUG
This 484-nucleotide ribosomal RNA is filed under the name uncultured bacterium. RNAcentral's name for it is "partial 16S ribosomal RNA". It matches the Rfam family "Bacterial small subunit ribosomal RNA", at positions 29 to 507 of the family's 1533-position model. The record is from RNAcentral.